Molecule: long non-coding RNA, 666 nt
Filed under: Nicotiana benthamiana
Lineage: Eukaryota; Viridiplantae; Streptophyta; Magnoliopsida; Solanales; Solanaceae
Description: long non-coding RNA (NBEN_LNC006297)
Source: RNAcentral
GCAUGUGGUAAACAAUUCUGUUUUAAUUGCUUGUGUGAACUGCACUCACCCUGUUCAUGUGUGAUGUGGGACCUUUGGCUUAAGAAGUGCGACGAUGAAGCACCAACCGUCACUUGGAUGUCAGAGAAAACCAAGCAUUGUCCCAAAUGUCAUAAAAUUGUCGAAAAGGAUGGAGGUUGAAACCUUGUACAGUGUAUAUGUGGACAGCCAUUUUGGUAAGACAAAUAUAGUAGAUCAAUUAAAGGGGAGCCUUGGCGUAACUGGCCAUGAAGCACCGACUAUCACUUGGAUGUCAGAGAAAACCAAGCAUUGUCCAAAAUGUCAUAAAAUUGUGGAAAAGGAUGGUGGAUGCAACCUUGUACAGUGUAUAUGUGGACAGCCAUUUUGGUAAGACAAAUAUAGUAGAUCAAUUAAGCCUUGGCAUAACUGGUAAAGUUACUGCCAUGUGACCAGGAGGUCAUGGGUUCGAGCUGUGGAAUCAGCCUCUUGCAGAAAUGCAGGGUAAGACUGCGAACAAUAGACCCUUGUGGUCCGGCCCUUCCCCGGGUCCGCCAUAGCAGAAGCUUACUGUAGCGGGCUUCACUUUAAAUAUAGUAGAUCAAUUCCUCUUACUUGAUGCUUAUGAUCGUAUUAACAUUUCUACAAAAUGUUCUUCUUCUUUAGUUG